GAUGAACGCUGGCGGCGUGCCUAAUACAUGCAAGUCGAGCGAACAGAUAAGGAGCUUGCUCCUUUGACGUUAGCGGCGGACGGGUGAGUAACACGUGGGUAACCUACCUAUAAGACUGGGAUAACUUCGGGAAACCGGAGCUAAUACCGGAUAAUAUUUCGAACCGCAUGGUUCGAUAGUGAAAGAUGGUUUUGCUAUCACUUAUAGAUGGACCCGCGCCGUAUUAGCUAGUUGGUAAGGUAACGGCUUACCAAGGCGACGAUACGUAGCCGACCUGAGAGGGUGAUCGGCCACACUGGAACUGAGACACGGUCCAGACUCCUACGGGAGGCAGCAGUAGGGAAUCUUCCGCAAUGGGCGAAAGCCUGACGGAGCAACGCCGCGUGAGUGAUGAAGGUCUUCGGAUCGUAAAACUCUGUUAUUAGGGAAGAACAUACGUGUAAGUAACUGUGCACGUCUUGACGGUACCUAAUCAGAAAGCCACGGCUAAUUACGUG
Molecule: ribosomal RNA, 497 nt
Filed under: uncultured bacterium
Lineage: Bacteria
Description: partial 16S ribosomal RNA
Rfam family: Bacterial small subunit ribosomal RNA
Source: RNAcentral